AGGCAAAAAAAGACCCAAAACUAUUCCGAUUGUUCUGGGUCCAGGGGAAUGGCUCUAAUUAAAGAGCCGUGCGCUACUGUUGAGAUCCUGAUUAGGAAUUAACUCUCUGGCUAAAAGUGUAGUCGACAUAAUUAGCUUGCAGCGCUU
Molecule: small RNA, 147 nt
Organism: Shewanella violacea DSS12
Lineage: Bacteria; Pseudomonadati; Pseudomonadota; Gammaproteobacteria; Alteromonadales; Shewanellaceae
Source: Rfam